GAACUGCGAUAAGUAAUGUGAAUUGCAGAAUUCAGUGAAUCAUCGAAUCUUUGAACGCACAUUGCGCCCGCCAGUAUUCUGGCGGGCAUGCCUGUUCGAGCGUCAUUUCAACCAUCAAGCCCCCGGCUUGUGUUGGGGACCUGCGGCUGCCCGCAGGCCCUGAAAAACAGUGGCGGGCUCGCUGUCACACCGAGCGUAGUAGCAUACAUUCUCGCUCAGGGCGUGCUGCGGGUUCCGGCCGUUAAACGACCUUCAUAACCCAAGGUUGACCUCGGAUCAGGUAGGAAGACCCGCUGAACUUAAGC
Molecule: unclassified non-coding RNA, 305 nt
Filed under: plant metagenome
Description: partial contains 5.8S ribosomal RNA, internal transcribed spacer 2, and large subunit ribosomal RNA
Rfam family: 5.8S ribosomal RNA (bases 1-105)
Source: RNAcentral